Molecule: microRNA precursor, 65 nt
Filed under: Petromyzon marinus (sea lamprey)
Lineage: Eukaryota; Metazoa; Chordata; Hyperoartia; Petromyzontiformes; Petromyzontidae
Description: Pma-Mir-338-P3_pre stem-loop
Source: RNAcentral
AACAAAUCACAGUGACUGCAGAGUCGGAGAUGUGGACAGAACUCCAGUGUCUGUGAUUUCGUUCU